RNAcentral lists this ribosomal RNA (1259 nucleotides) under Sphaeroforma sirkka. RNAcentral describes it as "bacterial SSU rRNA". The stretch from base 280 to 1259 matches the Rfam family "Eukaryotic small subunit ribosomal RNA". Lineage: Eukaryota; Ichthyosporea; Ichthyophonida. The record is from RNAcentral.
UCGGUAUAGCGACAAGAAGUUGCCAUGCAUAAUCGUAAAGGAUGAAUACUGAGCUCUGUCACCUUUGAGUGAACGUUUGAGGGAAAGCUGAGAAACGUUAGAAAACAGGAGUCGAAUGAGAAAGGGAGCUAUAACACGAGAAAGGGAGCUAUAACUAGCUGGAUCAAGUGUGGUGGGGCAGUCUCCGCUACCACUGAAUUUGAAAUUUAGCUGAAGCAAAAUAAUGUUCGAUUCGUAUGGAAAAUAAAAUUUAGAUCCUCAUCACCCAUGACACGGGUCAGCUCGAUAGGUACAGACGAUGAGCUAUUGCCUGAUCCUGUUGCAGAUUUAAAACUAGCCCAUUUGAGUGGUCAAACUUUUAAGUACAAUAUGAAGUCGCUAUGGGACACGACCUGGAAGUUUGUCCGGAGGGAUUUCGAAUUGAAGUCUUUCGAGGAAAGUUGUGUUUCGCACAAUUUUUUUAAACCCCUCAUAUCCCACUAGUCUAGUUUUUACCAUUAACUAUGCCGACUAGGAAUUGAUGGUACUUAACUAUAUGACUUCAUCAAGCACCUGAUGAGAAAUCAAAGGUGUUGGUUUCCGAGGGGAGUAUGGUCGCAAGGCUGAAACUUAGUUGACGGAAAGGUACCACCAGGAGUGGGGCCUGUGGUUUAAUGCGAUUCAACACGGGAAAACUCACCAGGUCUGGACAUAGUGAGGAUUGUCAGAUUGAGAGCUCGUUCUUUAUACUAUGGGUGGUGGUGCAUGGCCGUUCUAGGUUGGUGGAGUGAUUUGUCUGGUUAAUUCCGUUAACGAACGAGACCUUAACCUGCUAAAUAGUAUCGUGAAUUCCAAUUUACGGCAUACUUCAUUGAGGGACUACCGGCUUAACCCAUGGGGAUUUUGAGGCAAUAUCAGGUCUGCGAUGCCCUUAGAUGUUCUGGGUCGCACGCGCGCUACACUGAUGAAGUCAACGAGUCUUUUCCUACACCGGUAGGUGUAUGUAAUUUUUGGAAACUUUAUCGUGCUGGGGAUAGAUGAUUGCAAAUAUUCACCUUCAACGAGAUAUUCCUAGUAAGCGCAUGUCACCAGCAUGUGUUGAUUACGUUCCUGCCCUUUGUACACACCGCUCGUCGCUAGUACCGAAUGGCUUAGUGAGGCCUCAGGAGGGAUUCUUUGCUGGUGGCCACACCGACAUUGAUUCCCGAAUUAGGAAAAAAUUAGUCCUUUAGAGGAGGUGUAUGUCGUAAAAAAGGUUUCCGUAGGUGAACCUGAGGAAG